GUGUCAGCAGCCGCGGUAAUACAGAGGUCUCAAGCGUUGUUCGGAUUCAUUGGGCGUAAAGGGUGCGUAGGUGGUGGGGUAAGUCGGAUGUGAAAUCCCGGGGCUCAACCCCGGAACUGCAUUCGAUACUGCCUUGCUCGAGUACUGGAGAGGAGACUGGAAUUUACGGUGUAGCAGUGAAAUGCGUAGAUAUCGUAAGGAAGACCAGUGGCGAAGGCGAGUCUCUGGACAGUUACUGACACUGAGGCACGAAGGCCAGGGGAGCAAACGGGAUUAGAAACCCCGGUAGUCC
This 292-nucleotide ribosomal RNA is filed under the name uncultured bacterium. Its description in RNAcentral is "partial 16S ribosomal RNA". It matches the Rfam family "Bacterial small subunit ribosomal RNA", at positions 505 to 796 of the family's 1533-position model. The record is from RNAcentral.